Molecule: ribosomal RNA, 228 nt
Filed under: Triticum aestivum (bread wheat)
Lineage: Eukaryota; Viridiplantae; Streptophyta; Magnoliopsida; Poales; Poaceae
Description: partial small subunit ribosomal RNA
Source: RNAcentral
AUGAGUCACCGUCGAAGCUUGGCCCGACAAUUUUACGAAGAUUCCUCCUCCGAAGAUGAGGAACUCAUGAUGGCUGCAAUCGUAGUAGAGGAAGAACAAGCCCAGUUGGAUGCUCCACGACAUGGAGGUUCACAACCAAGACGUCAAUCUCUUCAGUGCGAUUUUGCGGGAUGCUUCCAGAACCUCCACAAGGGCUACCUGUACCAUCACCACAAAGAUGUUUCAUAA